CUCAGGUCGUAGUAGCCCAGCCCUAUCCCGACCGCCCUGUCUACAGAGUUAGGCCAGAAGCAGGUCAACGGAAACUGAGGGACAGACUACACCCCUAGAUGGCCUAGCAUUAUGGGGAUUUGCCUUCCCUCUUCCAGGGCCAGGAGGGGGCGAAGAUGCCCAAGCACCGGAGCUGAGACGCUCUCAAAGGGUUAAUAGGCAGCAACCCCGAAGGGAGAAACCAGCGAGGAGGAGUGCGAACGCUGAGAGUCCAACGUGUGGGGCUGGACGCUUGGGCACAGCCGGUGGAGCGCGAGGACUGGGGAGAGCUGGAGACGCACCCCAAACCGACGUUCGGGAGACGCAGAGCGGGUCCGAUUCGAGGCGUUGGCCCG
RNAcentral lists this long non-coding RNA (374 nucleotides) under Oryzias javanicus (javanese ricefish). RNAcentral's name for it is "lncRNA (ENSOJAG00000007056.1)". The record is from RNAcentral. Lineage: Eukaryota; Metazoa; Chordata; Actinopteri; Beloniformes; Adrianichthyidae.